UACGGAGGGUGCAAGCGUUGUUCGGAAUUAUUGGGCGUAAAGCGCGUGUAGGCGGAUAUGUAGGUCAGAUGUGAAAUCCCUCGGCUUAACUGAGGAAGAGCAACUGAAACCACAUGUCUUGAGUACGAUAGAGGAGAGUGGAAUUCCCAGUGUAGAGGUGAAAUUCAUAGAUAUUGGGAAGAACACCGGUGGCGAAGGCGGCUCUCUGGAUCGAUACUGACGCUGAGACGCGAAAGCGUGGGUAGCAAACAGG
This 253-nucleotide ribosomal RNA is filed under the name uncultured bacterium. RNAcentral's name for it is "partial 16S ribosomal RNA". It matches the Rfam family "Bacterial small subunit ribosomal RNA", at positions 524 to 776 of the family's 1533-position model. The record is from RNAcentral.